CAUGCAAGUCGAACGAUGAUGCCCAGCUUGCUGGGUGGAUUAGUGGCGAACGGGUGAGUAACACGUGAGUAACCUGCCCCUGACUCUGGGAUAAGCGUUGGAAACGACGUCUAAUACUGGAUAUGACUGCCGGCCGCAUGGUCUGGUGGUGGAAAGAUUUUUUGGUUGGGGAUGGACUCGCGGCCUAUCAGCUUGUUGGUGAGGUAAUGGCUCACCAAGGCGACGACGGGUAGCCGGCCUGAGAGGGUGACCGGCCACACUGGGACUGAGACACGGCCCAGACUCCUACGGGAGGCAGCAGUGGGGAAUAUUGCACAAUGGGCGAAAGCCUGAUGCAGCAACGCCGCGUGAGGGAUGACGGCCUUCGGGUUGUAAACCUCUUUUAGUAGGGAAGAAGCGAAAGUGACGGUACCUGCAGAAAAAGCACCGGCUAACUACGUGCCAGCAGCCGCGGUAAUACGUAGGGUGCAAGCGUUGUCCGGAAUUAUUGGGCGUAAAGAGCUCGUAGGCGGUUUGUCGCGUCUGCUGUGAAAUCCCGAGGCUCAACCUCGGGCUUGCAGUGGGUACGGGCAGACUAGAGUGCGGUAGGGGAGAUUGGAAUUCCUGGUGUAGCGGUGGAAUGCGCAGAUAUCAGGAGGAACACCGAUGGCGAAGGCAGAUCUCUGGGCCGUAACUGACGCUGAGGAGCGAAAGCGUGGGGAGCGAACAGGAUUAGAUACCCUGGUAGUCCACGCCGUAAACGUUGGGCGCUAGAUGUAG
This 759-nucleotide ribosomal RNA is filed under the name Curtobacterium sp. RNAcentral describes it as "bacterial SSU rRNA". It matches the Rfam family "Bacterial small subunit ribosomal RNA", at positions 54 to 825 of the family's 1533-position model. Lineage: Bacteria; Bacillati; Actinomycetota; Actinomycetes; Micrococcales; Microbacteriaceae. The record is from RNAcentral.